Molecule: long non-coding RNA, 250 nt
Organism: Hippocampus comes (tiger tail seahorse)
Lineage: Eukaryota; Metazoa; Chordata; Actinopteri; Syngnathiformes; Syngnathidae
Exons: 2
Source: RefSeq, a predicted model, not a curated record
UUCUGGCCACUCUUUCCGUGACAUUUCAGUGAGUCGGGUGACCUCCAGUUCAUGAUCACCUUUUCCCGUAGUCCGUGUGUGUGAAGAGUGAACCGGGCGAGCCAGGCGAGAAUCGUCCCAACUUGAGGAGGAGGAUGGGCUCUUUCGUCGCCAAGCCCGAACCAGAAAACGAGAUUCCCAUUCAAGUCAAACAGGAGCCAGUGGAAAUCAAGGAACCACUCAUUGAGGAGGACAAAUUUAAGCAACGCUA